AGAGUGUAUAUUAAAGUUGUUGCGGUUAAAAAGCUCGUAGUUGGACUUGAGGGAUUUAUAUAAAAGGGUCUUUGUUUUAAAGCAAAGUAUCUUUAUAUGUUUUUUCCUUUCUUUUUAUUUUCUUUUAAGAAGGGGCAACUCUUCUGUGGGGAUAGAUAGUUUACUUUGAAAAAAUUAGAGUGUUUAAAGCAGACAUGACAUGUACAAUUGAAUAUUACAGCAUGGGAUAAUAGAAUAGGACAUUAACCUUAAUUUUGUUGGUUUUGAAGGUUAAUAGUAAUGAUUAAAAGGGAUAGUUGGGGUCACUUGUAUUUGAUCGCUAGGGGUGAAAUCCUAUGAUUGCUCAAAGACAAACUACUG
RNAcentral lists this ribosomal RNA (360 nucleotides) under uncultured eukaryote. RNAcentral's name for it is "bacterial SSU rRNA". It matches the Rfam family "Eukaryotic small subunit ribosomal RNA", at positions 594 to 945 of the family's 1831-position model. The record is from RNAcentral.